GGUGACUGGAAGAUUGUUCCAUAGAGCUGGUGCUGCUACAGAAAAGGCUCUAUCACCCAUGGAUGUUUUCGUGCUUGGCUGUGUUAGUCUUAACGUAUCUAUUGAUCUAAGAGCUCUGGUGGGUACAUGCAGAUGUACAAGCUGGCGAAGGUAGUCACAGGACUGGUCAUCGUAGAGGCAGUUAUGAGUCAGUAGCAGAAUCUUGAAGUAGAUCCUGUACUUUACUGGAAGCCAGUGAAGGGAUUUCAGAACUGGCGAUAUAUGGUCAUGGCGAUGGAAAUUUGAUUAGAAAA
Haliotis rubra (blacklip abalone) is the source of this 293-nucleotide long non-coding RNA. RefSeq lists it as uncharacterized. NCBI's taxonomy places the organism in Eukaryota, Metazoa, Mollusca, Gastropoda, Lepetellida, Haliotidae. The record is from RefSeq and is a predicted model, not a curated record. The transcript is spliced from 3 exons.